GGAAGUAAAAGUCGUAACAAGGUCUCCGUAGGUGAACCUGCGGAGGGAUCAUUACAAGAACGCCCGGGCUUCGGCUGGUUAUUCAUAACCCUUUGUUGUCCGACUCUGUUGCCUCCGGGGCGACCCUGCCUUCGGGCGGGGGCUCCGGGUGGACACUUCAAACUCUUGCGUAACUUUGCAGUCUGAGUAAACUUAAUUAAUAAAUUAAAACUUUUAACAACGGAAUCUCUUGGUUCUGGCAUCGAUGAAGAACGCAGCGAAAUGCGAUAAGUAAUGUGAAUUGCAGAAUUCAGUGAAUCAUCGAAUCUUUGAACGCACAUUGCGCCCCCUGGUAAUCCGGGGGGCAUCCCUGUUCGAGCGUCAUUUCACCACUCAAGCCUCGCUUGGUAUUGGGCAACGCGGUCCGCCGCGUGCCUCAAAUCGUCCGGCUGGGUCUUCUGUCCCCUAAGCGUUGUGGAAACUAUUCGCUAAAGGGUGUUCGGGAGGCUACGCCGUAAAACAACCCCAUUUCUAAGGUUGACCUCGGAUCAGGUAGGGAUACCCGCUGAACUUAAGCAUAUCAAUAAGCGGAGGA
RNAcentral lists this ribosomal RNA (574 nucleotides) under uncultured fungus. RNAcentral describes it as "eukaryotic LSU rRNA". The stretch from base 209 to 363 matches the Rfam family "5.8S ribosomal RNA". Lineage: Eukaryota; Fungi. The record is from RNAcentral.